AUCCAUGUAGCGAAAUGGGUACCGCGUUGGACUUCUAAGCCAAAAGUCGUGGGUUCGAAUCCCACCUGGGAUG
Trichonephila inaurata madagascariensis is the source of this 73-nucleotide non-coding RNA. Lineage: Eukaryota; Metazoa; Arthropoda; Arachnida; Araneae; Nephilidae. The record is from the annotation of a GenBank genome assembly.